AAAUGAAUAGACGGGACCCCGCACAAGCGGUGGAUCAUGUUGUUUAAUUCGAAGAUACACGAAAAACCUUACCAGGUCUUGACAUACUCUGCAAAGGCUUAGAAAUAAGUUCGGAGGUUAACAGAUGUACAGGUGGUGCACGGUUGUCGUCAGCUCGUGUCGUGAGAUGUUGGGUUAAGUCCCGCAACGAGCGCAACCCUUAUUGCUAGUUACCAUCAUUAAGUUGGGGACUCUAGCGAGACUGCCAAUGAUAAAUUGGAGGAAGGUGGGGAUGACGUCAAAUCAUCAUGCCCCUUAUGACCUGGGCUACAAACGUGAUACAAUGGCUGGAACAAAGAGAAGCGAGAGGGUGACCUGGAGCGAAACUCAUAAAAACAGUCUCAGUUCGGAUUGAAGUCUGCAACUCGACUUCAUGAAGUAGGAAUCGCUAGUAAUCGCAAAUCAGCAUGUUGCGGUGAAUACGUUCUCGGGGUUUGUACACACCGCCCGU
Molecule: ribosomal RNA, 490 nt
Filed under: uncultured bacterium
Lineage: Bacteria
Description: bacterial SSU rRNA
Rfam family: Bacterial small subunit ribosomal RNA
Source: RNAcentral